This is a non-coding RNA of Myotis davidii, 76 nucleotides long. The record is from Rfam. NCBI's taxonomy places the organism in Eukaryota, Metazoa, Chordata, Mammalia, Chiroptera, Vespertilionidae.
GGUUGUUCUCGAGUGACACACCUCAGAAUCGGGCUCCCUCCUUUCUGGUUCCAGUGUGCAUCACCCGAGAACCGCA